This 2863-nucleotide long non-coding RNA is filed under the name Hordeum vulgare. RNAcentral's name for it is "long non-coding RNA (HVUL_LNC019670)". The record is from RNAcentral. Lineage: Eukaryota; Viridiplantae; Streptophyta; Magnoliopsida; Poales; Poaceae.
CUAUGCGGAGACUGUGCCAUCUCUUGAUCCGUUACUUCUUUUUUCUCGCAAUGGCUUGAUCGGUUACUUCAGGAGCAAUCAUUCUCUUAGGGUGACUGUCAUGGAGGCCAGAACCGUGAUGCGCAGGCUCGCCGUAUACAUCAGGAAAAUCUAGAAAGGAAGUAACAAAGGCACGUUGCAUAAAUUUCGAAAGAAAGAUUCUCAAAACAAAAAUCUGGAAAGAAGAAAAGGUGAAGCACGUUGCAUAUUUUUCUGCAGCUAUUCAUCCGCUCAAAAGCUUGUCACUCUCAGACAUCGGUGACGUGCGUCAGCUGCAGGAUAAAUCAGUGUACGUAUAUGUGAAUCACGUAGGAAUCCAGCCGCCGGCUAGCUUCAUACAUGUCUUUUGUGAGGGCCAAAAGCACCGGCCAUCAGCACAUAUAGGCACCGGUUUGGGCAGGGCCAAAGCUUGCCUGAAAACUAUUUCAGUGCUUGAAAUUUUGAGCACUUUUAGCAUCAAAAUCUAAAACUUAUUUGUACAUCUUUCUCUACAAGAUAUUUUGACAUGGAAAUUUGCAAGAACGUACAAAGUUUGAUCAUCUUUAAUGUUGCAAAGUUUUAAAAAAUAAUUGUUCUUUAUUUCUUUUGAUUUUACUGUUCAUAGAGGGUGCCUAGGCACCCGGGUGCUAUCAUACCUUUCCCUUGCGGAGAGUGAAUUUUUUUAUUUAUAUCAGUGGGGGUUUUAUGGGUGGAGACUCUCUCUCUUUAUUUUCAUUGAUGGUGGACGUGGCAGAUGCUAUUUUGUAUGGUACAGAACCAUCCAUGUUACGUAACUUUCAUUUUUUAUCCUGACCGUACAGUCUACAAUCCAACUAUCUAAUUAAUUUUAAUGAUGUGAAUUAAGGACACGUCUUGAAAGAUGCAUCCAAUUAGUAAAUAUAUAUACUAGUCGUCUACCCGUGCGGAUGCACGUGCUAGCCUAAUUUAUAAAGAUGUAUAAUUUACUUCAUUCCAUGCAAUAAUAUGAAAUAAUAAUAAUAUUACAAAUUUGAACUAUAUGAACUAAUAACAUGCAACAAUCAAUAUUCGAUAGCAUGUAGCGAAAAGGAAUUAUCAUUAUCAGUAAAUUCACAAUCAUAUAAUUUACAUAUAUGUUCGGUUUACCAGUAUUGGAUACCAUGUUGCGAAAAGGAACUAUCAUUUAUUGCAUUGUUAAUUUAUUUUUAUGUAGGGAGCGUUGAUAGUUCUUUUCUCAUCCUAUAUACCACUGAAAGGAAAAGAUAGUAGAUGACAACAUGGAAUAUUCAACAAUUCCAUCAUCUGUAUAUUUGAUAUUUUAGUCUCAUUGAGCUCUAAAUUAUCGCCAAAUUCAUUGUAUAAACCUAGUAAUACAAAGAAACUCGAAUGGCUUCUUUGAGCUUUGAAAGAGUACAUGUUGAAGUUCUCAACAGAUGUACAUGUAGGUGUGUACUUUCUAACUUUAAAAUUUAUUAGAAUGUCUUUUUAUUUGUAUGUUGCACUGGUUGGCCAAUGGAAUCAUGUUUUUAUGUACUGGAGGAUAAUAUGCAGAGUUUGGCACCGAUUAUUUUUAUAAGAUUUUGAAAUUUCUAUAUUUUUGUUCGCUUUUCAUUGGAAGAUAAGAUGCACAAUCUAUCAUGUAUAUAUGCAGAUCUAGGAACAGUGCAUCUACAUAAUAUAUCAUCUGAAUAAUAAUUUGGAACUUAGAACCAAAGACUUGUACCAAUUUUUAGUCUGUUCAUGACUAUAUAUUUUUUCAAUCAAUCAAGUACACCAAUUAUCAUUUAAAUAAAAUAACAAAGAGAAAGACCUAAUGGGCAAUAUUACCUUGAGUAAAGUUUUGUUCAGGCAAUCAAUCACAACAACUAUACAGAGUAAAUAGCUGUCCAAGACACCAUAUGUACAGAAAUACAUAGCCAUGAGGCCUGCAUGCUAUAUAUGACCUGUUUCGUGAAUAAACAACUAUAUAGAUAGAACAGUACAUCAAUAGACAUGGACGAAGUCAUUGCUGGACAAAAUGAUGUUUUUUGUUGCUACUAUUUCAACGGAUUAUUGCUUGUCUCUGAUGGCUAGAAGUGCUAAUGCAGUGCUAUUUGCAUAGUGGUCUCGUCUCAGUAACCAUGGGGAAAAUCUGAAUAAGACCAUCGGAUUUAACACCAUUAGCUUAAAGAGAGAAGGAGGAUGAUUGGAGUUUGUCGAGUUGUCACUCACAUCAUACAAACACACAGGCAACCAGACACGUAUUAAAUCCCCAAGCAGGUUGAUUGAUUCCGGCCAUAGAUGCGCCAGUAUCGUAUGUAUGUAUGCACAACCGUAUAGGUAAUAGAAAUUCUUGCCGGCAGACAGAACACAUACUCAUAAAACACAAUUCAUAGGUUCUUGAUCGUACUGACCUGCAGCUUUGGCUUGUAAACAACAAUGAAUCCUUGUGACGUGAUCAUGCAUGGAGCUCGACUUACAUAGCCAAGUUGAAUCCAAGCAGGUUGGUUGAUUCCGGCUACCAAUGCGUAGUACGUACGUACGUCUGCAUAGUCGUACAGCUAAUAAGUGAAAUGUAAUUCAUGGCAAUAGGUUUUUGAUCGUACUGGCCUGCAGCUUCGGCUUGUGAACAAUAAUGGAUCUUUCCGACGCGAUCAUGCACAGAGCUCGACUUGACUCCUGAUUGAGCAUGCCUUGAUUGAGAUUUGCGGCCGCUUGCCAGAAACACAACGCACACGCAGACCAAUUUGAUGCCGAUUGCGCCCAUUGCCAAUUUUGAUAUACGUCGGCGGCGGCUGCUUGAUGCUAAGAAGAAAUAGGUUAGAAAGAGAUCCAUACUUAUUUUUUAGCUGGAGGUGUUCUCACUUCUGGAAAAAAUGAAUUGUAA